ACAACCCUGAGAUUAAGAGUUGGUAUGCUCUACCAACUGAGCAGCCAGGCGCCCCUCCUCUGGCCAAUUUCGUGACACGUGACCCCUUUGUCUAGAGACAAGGAUGCCCUCAGUAUUGUCCAUUACUGAAGCACAGAAACUCUUUGGCCAUUCUAUUUGAUGCCAUGGCUCAGACCUACUGACGUUCUCCUUGAUAGAAGACGUGAAAUAGCUUACAGAAAGUCAGACCUUGUGUGUAAUACCUACAAAUUCCCGAAGAUGUGCUAUUCCCGCUUUAUGGGUGGAAAACAAGCCCUGAAUUGCUGAAAGGUGAGGCAGUUUGUUAGAGGCCAGUCACAGAGUCUCUGCAUCCUUCAAGUGAGGGAGCCUGUGUUCCAGGCACUUGUGUAACCAUACAACAGCCCUGCAGUUUAGGCACAGGAUCUCACUCCCAUGGAUGGGAAAGCUGAGGCCCGGAGAGGUUUAUCGAAUGCUCAAGGUCACAGGGCAAGGGAGCCACAAGAGUGGGCAUCAAGUCCAACCGGAUCAGACUGAAGGCUGCAAGGGAAAACCUACCGUGCCAGGCCUCCAGGCUUUUCCUGAGGUGUGUGGUGGGUGGAGUACUCAGCCUCGUAAAGCUUCAAAGCCUGUAGCUAACAUUCUUGGCACGCUUGGGCUUCCCCGCUGGAAGACUGAUGGCACCAGAAGUCAGUGAAAGCUGCUCGGUGGAAAGGACCUGCGCCCAUGAGCCUCCCAUGCUCCUCCUCUUUCACCUCUUCUGUUUUUCUUUCCUUGAGGGGUAGUCUGGGAGAUGGCAGAGGGUUUUGUCCUGUCAGCUGCUCCCGUCACUUCAGUGGCUCUGAAAUUCCCGAAAAAGCUUGCACACAGGCAGCGGUUCCGGUUUUCCUCCCUCCCACUCCCCUUCCCCUGCGUAGGCUGGUCUUACGAGGCAGGAGAGGCACAUUCUUAAUGGCGAGAUUCGGCCAGUGGUUCUGGGAGAGGAAGCCGCCAGAUCAGGUCAACAUCUAUCUUCUCUGGCUUUUCAAAAACUUCAGAUGACGCCGGCUCGUGGGUCAAAUGUCAGCUCAAGGCCAUAGCUCACUGUGUUUGGAGGGGAUAAGCGAUGGGGAUGGGUGGGCUUGGAGGGUCAGGAGGUACACAGCCUGCCUUUUUCUCCUACUUGAAAGUAAGGAAGGGAACAGUAGCAACAUUCUGGAACACAUGGCAGCAGCUGAAGAUAAGAUAAAGGGAGAAGCUAGGCUGGUUGUUCCAAGAACAUGAUUGGUGUGUUGGCUACCACUGUCUUGUGCGGUUUUUAAAAAUAGAAAGACCAGAGGGUGGAGCUUUCUAGUUAAAAGCCUGAGUAUUUUUUUUUUUUAAUGUUUAUUUAUUUUGAGAGAGAGGGCAUGUGCAGGUGCAUGAGCAGGGAAGGGGCAGAGAGAGAGAGGGAGAGAGAGAAUCCCAAGCAGGUUCCCUGCUGCUAGCCUGGAGCUUGACUUGGGGCUUGAACCCACGAACUGUGAGAUCAUGACCUGAGCUGAAGUCAAGAGUCAGACGCCUAACCGACUGAGCCCCUCCAGGCACCCCGAAAGCGCAAGUGAAGCUGAGUUGGCCGCUCCAGAAUGAACCACAGCUCCCAGAUGGGGAAGUAGAAACCCAGCUGGCUCUCUGCCAUGGCCUGCGAACCUCAGGUGGGCCCCAGCGGGGCAGCCGGCCCAUUGCCCACCUCCUCUCCUGGCUGGAAUGCCUUGCCUGGAGGGCGUCCCCCAGGCUGGGGGCAAGUGGUGCUCGCUCAGCCAGGUGAAGCUUCUGGUGUGCUUUCAGAGCUCCGCAAUGGCCAGGUCCUCACGGUUCUGCGGAUCGACAACACCUGUGCGCCCAUCGCCUUCGAUCUGGGCGCCGCAGAAGAGCAACUGCAGACCUGGGGCAUUCAGGUCCCCGCCGACCAGUACAGGAGCUUGGCUGAAAGCGCCCUCUUGGAGCCCCAAGUGAGGCGAUACAUCAUCUACAACUCCAGGCCCAUGCGGUUGGCCUUUGCUGUGGUGUUCUAUGUGGUGGUGUGGGCUAACAUCUACUCCACCAGCCAGAUGUUUGCCCUGGGGAACCACUGGGUAGGUGUGCUGCUCGUGACCCUGGCUGCCAUGAGCCUGACUCUGACCCUCGUGCUCAUCUUCGAGAGACACCAGAGGAAGGCCAACACCAACACGGACCUUAGGCUGGCGGCUGCCAACGGAGCCCUCCUGAGGCACCGGGUGCUGCUGGGGGUGACGGACACGGUGGAAGGCUGCCAGAGUGUGAUUCAGCUCUGGUUCGUCUACUUCGACCUGGAGAACUGUGUGCAGUUUUUGUCUGACCACAUUCAAGAGAUGAAGACUAGCCAAGAGUCCUUGCUGAGAAGCAGAUUGAGCCAGCUGUGUGUUGUCAUGGAAACCGGAGUGAGCCCCGAGACAGCAGAGGGGCCUGAGGACCUGUUGGAGGAAGCCCCUCUCCUGCCCGGCAGUCCUCAUUCGGAGGAGAGGCCACUCCUGCAGACUGAGCUUCGCCAGCUCGUGCCUGAGGCUGAGCCAGAGGAAAUGGCCCAGCAGCUGUUGGCGGUAUUUGGCGGCUACUAUAUCCGGCUCCUGGUGACCUCGCAGCUUCCCCAGGCAGUGGGGACACGACACACAGACUCGCCAAGGAUUCCGUGCCCCUGCCAGCUCAUAGAAGCCCACAUCCUGGGUACUGGGUGCUGCCCAUUCCUGGCCAGGUGACCUAGGGAGGAAGGUACUCCGCUUCCUGCAAGACUGAAGGUCCUCAGGAAGGCUCAGGAGCACCAGGCGGCUGACGGUGAGCCCCAGGGGAGGAGAGAAGCAUCUGGGAGCACUUGGAAGACCGUCAGUCAUGUCAGAGCAUGGGUAUCGUGCUUGCUUCAGGACUCUGCACAGGAAUACCUUUCCACAUCCCAUGCUGACCCCUGGCCCUUUCAGAAGCUGAUGGUUGCCAAGCUGGUCCCACUCCAAACCAGUCUCUAUGCUGCUUAGAACCAUGGGCAUGGAUGGAAGGCCUCUCCCAUGCCCUUCAUUGUCUGGAGAGCCCAGAAAAUGUGAAGAUGCCCCUACUGGGCCAACCAUGUGUCCAGAGCUCAGUCUCAGGUGAUGGUCCUGUCCUCAGCUCCUUCUUGUCAGACAGGAAAACUGAACCUCAGAGAGGACUCUGCUCUUUGUAGCAUUGUCUUGGGCCUCCAGAAUUCCUAAUCGGAAGGAAAGAAGUCAAUUCUCAGAACGUUCUCCAUUUGCUUGGGUAACUAGUCCCACACCCCUGAAAGGCUUGAAAGAAAUCUGAGGUGUGCCAGCAGAGGGUGGCUGGGGAGACUGAAAUCCAGAGAGGUGACUCCAAUAUUCUUGCCAACUACACACACCCAUGCCUGGGACCUACUGAAGAGCUGUGGCUGGUGCUUCUGGGAUAUUCUUGGACUAUUAGGUGAGUCAACAGUGGAAGAAGGCCCCUCAUUGGCCUGGCAGCAGCAACAGAAGACGCCAUGUUUUGGUGGGUCAUGGGAAGAGGAAAGGGCAUUGGGGCAUCUGGCCCUGUAGCCUCAAUCCCAGAAGCCCAUUGUUAUUUCAGCGGUGGGUCAUACUGGGCCAGCCUCUCCCAACGUAUCACACCCCUUCCCCUCCCAAACCUCUCGUAGCUCCCUGUGGCUGGCAUGUCCAGGCCCACCUAUGUGGGCCUACCUCUGACUAGGUCUUCUUCCAUUCAAAGUUCUCUCACCCAUGGAAAGACAUUGGAGCCUCUACUCUGCCAGUCUUUACCUGCAGGGGUACCUCGUUGAAUCAGCAGAUCAUCUGAUAACACAGCUCCACCUUUCUGUGUGGCUUUGGGCUCAUCUGUUCCGGACCUAGGCUCCCAUCUGACAGGCCUCUUCCCAGCUCCUGUUCUCACUUCCCUUUCCCUGUGGCCAAAGCCCUACUCUGGGAAUUUCCAUCAUGGCGGCAGUAUUCCCUCAGUGCACACUGGGUUCACUCCAGGGCAUCGUCCUUGGGCACUGGCUUCCCCCUCUCCCGGCCACCACCGUGUCUCACCUGGAUCACUGCGAUGGCCUCCUAACUGGUCUCCCUGCUUCUUCCACCCUCGUCUUCAUUGGUGUCAGCACAGCAGAAUCCUCUUAUGAUGUAAGUCACAUCACAUCACACCUCUGCUUGGAGUCCUGGUGCCCUAUCACGCAGAAGAGAAGCCAAAGUCUUUCUCUGGGCAUCCCCUGAAAAAAAUCUGUAAUCUCAGCACUACCUUUGCCCAUCCCUCCCCUGCUGUCUCCUCCUGCCCUCCCCUUCACUCUGUUCCAAAUGGACAGAACAUGGCUGCCCUUGCCUGCACUUUCUGCCUGGGAUGCUCUUCUCUGGAGACUCAGGGAACUCCUCCCUCCCCUCCUUUAAGGCUUUGUGUGAAGGUCAGCUUUUCUUGUGAGGCAUUCCCCCCCCCCCCCAUUUAGGCCUCUCCCUCUAUUUAAUUCUCCCUAUUUAUUCCCUCUACCACUCAAUUCCCAGUUUACAGGACUGUCCCUCCCCCAGUCCUCCCUCUUCCCCAUCCCACCUCCUUCUUCUCCAUAGCCCUUGUCUUAGAGCACACCCCGGAGUUUAUUUGCAAUUUUCCUGCUGUGGAACACAUGGAGGCAGGGGGUCAGCCUCUUAGGUUCACUGCUGGGUCCCCAGUGCCGGAUGCCAAGCGUGCAGUUAAUAAACAGUUGUGGGAGGCUGGACGAACCUGUACUUUGGUUGAACUUUGGUCCUGCGUAUGAGCAGAUGCUGUCACCGCCCCAGGGGUGAGAUAAGCCACUAUUCCAGGGACAUGAAGGCUGGUGAGACACUGUUGGUGUCUCACUGCUGAUGAGACACCGUCAAGCUGACUGAUGGCUUUAAGAACAAUGGAUAGGUUUGCUUUUGACUGCUGAUGGGGCCAUCUCCCUUCCCCACCCUUUUCAACCCAAACCUAUUUCCUUUCCUUUCGUGUCCUAUAUUCACUUUGGGUCUGGAGUCAGAGUUGGCGAACCCCUUCUCCUCCUGGCCCCUGCCUCCCUUUCUCUACCCGUUCAGCCAUUCAUCAAGGCAUUGUGAUUCUACCUUAUAAACAUCUCCUCCACCCUCCAGCCCCUGCCCUCGGCCACCCCCCUGGCCACAACUUCCCUGCUGGCCCCUGGCUCACUUGCAGGCCCAUCUGCCUGCAAUCCCAUCACCAUGCUGUGCCUCAAACCCUCAGCGGCUCCCUGUUGCACUGCUGAAAACUGCUUGGUAGUCUGGCCCUGCCAGCUUUGCCAGCCUCAUUCCCUCCCAGCCUCGCCUGUUGCCCUCUGGCCGUAGGAGCUGCCAGCAGCGCCCCAAACUUGCUCUCAUUGCGUUACCACCAUGCAUUUGUGCCAACUCUCUCCCCCACCCCCAUGUUCUCACUCCCUCACCCUUCACACUGGAGACUCAGCUCAGGGACUGCUCCUUCCGGGAGGCCAUCCCUUACACCUGGGAGGAAUUAGGGGCCUCUCUAGUGGUCCCACACUGGGUCAUGGCCAGUGCCUGGCAUUGCACAGCAUCUGCCUAACCCUAUCACAGGUGCUUGAUAAAUAUUUGUUGAGCAAUAUUUCACAGCCUGCCUAUGAUUUGCCUAUGAGAGUCCACU
Molecule: RNA transcript, 5622 nt
Organism: Acinonyx jubatus (cheetah)
Lineage: Eukaryota; Metazoa; Chordata; Mammalia; Carnivora; Felidae
Gene: TMEM268
Gene name: transmembrane protein 268
Exons: 11
Source: RefSeq, a predicted model, not a curated record